Molecule: long non-coding RNA, 722 nt
Filed under: Sorghum bicolor (sorghum)
Lineage: Eukaryota; Viridiplantae; Streptophyta; Magnoliopsida; Poales; Poaceae
Description: long non-coding RNA (SBIC_LNC015350)
Source: RNAcentral
GGGGUCCUGCUGCUUUCCGGGGUUGUUUAGUGACCUGUUGAGACGAUGCUAGCUAGCUAGCUGACGGCGGCAUCUGCCAAAGAAGCUAGCUAGCUAGUAGACUUAGGAAUAAUCAUGGUGAUAAAUCCUCACUUCGCUAUCAUACUUUGCAUAUUGUCAUGGUACGGUUGGACUUAGGAAGUAUAUAUCAGUUCUGCUUGUGUAGAUUAUACUAAUAAGGUGAUUUAUUAAAUGUUAUGAGACCUAGUCACCUGUGAUGUACUUAACGAUUUUUGCAGGCUCUACCUCAAUUAAAACUAGGCGUACUCCUAGAUUUGUAAAGUUUAGCUUCUUCUAAACUUUCUAAAAAAACAAAUAAUGGUUGUCAAAUUCAAAGAUUAAGAAUUUCAGUGUGGACGAUGACCGAGACAUUGAUAAGAUCGGAUGCCCCCACGUCCGCAUAAAUUGGAUCCUCCAAUGAUGCUGUAUACACACAUGUGCCAUUUGAGUGGAGGCAACUCUUUAAUACAUGCAUGUCCUCUUGGGGGUAAUUAACUGGACGACCCUCUAUAGGCAUGGCACUCUCCCUCAUUAAUAAAAUAUAUAGAAAUAUCGCUUUAGCGAACUGCUGCAGGACAAAUUUUUUUUUUCAAUUUUAACCAGUUUCUACAGAGAGUAAGAUGUAUAGAAGCCAUGGUAUUUAAAUGUUUGUCGUCUUUACGGUUGUUUCUCCUUCAGUUGCC